AGCUCUAUAGUUUGCUAUUUUAUUUUCCUCUCUUCAAAUGAGUGAAGAGAGAGAACGAAGAAAGCCUCUUAAGUAGGAAAGGAAGGAGAGUCAUCGACCAUUAGAUUAUGUGACAUCCCAAAUACUAAUUAAAGCAUAAGGGUGCUAGAUACAAGCCUCUUAAAAGUUGGACUCAUUAGAGUGCGAAACAAUAUAUGCACUCGUAACAGUUCAUGGAUCCACAGGAUCCUCAACGGCUUCAAUGGGCAGGUAAACUAAUGAUUCUUCACUAUCAUCCUCAUCUAAAAGGGGGUCAUGGAAAGAGGUGAAUUCUAAUAUACUCAACAAGAAAAAUAGUAUUUAAAUGACAUUAC
Molecule: long non-coding RNA, 353 nt
Filed under: Carica papaya (papaya)
Lineage: Eukaryota; Viridiplantae; Streptophyta; Magnoliopsida; Brassicales; Caricaceae
Description: long non-coding RNA (CPAP_LNC003127)
Source: RNAcentral